RNAcentral lists this ribosomal RNA (769 nucleotides) under uncultured archaeon. Its description in RNAcentral is "bacterial SSU rRNA". It matches the Rfam family "Archaeal small subunit ribosomal RNA", at positions 5 to 775 of the family's 1478-position model. The record is from RNAcentral.
CGGUUGAUCCUGCCGGAGGUUACUGCUAUCAGGGUUUGAUUAAGCCAUGCAAGUUAUGUGUUUUUUGUAAACACGGCGAACUGCUCAGUAACACGCGGAUAAUCUGCCCUCAGGUUUGGGAUAACCCUGGGAAACUGGGGAUAAUACCAAAUGUUUCAAGGUUGCUGGAAUGCUCUUUGAUUGAAAGCUUCGGUGCCUGAGGAUGAGUCUGCGGCCUAUCAGGUUGUAGUGGGUGUAAUGUACCUACUAGCCAGCGACGGGUACGGGUUGUGAGAGCAAGAGCCCGGAGAUGGAUUCUGAGACAUGAAUCCAGGCCCUACGGGGUGCAGCAGGCGCGAAACCUUUACAAUGCGCGAAAGCGCGAUAAGGAGACCCUGAGUGCUAGCACAUAGUGCUGGCUGUCCAGCUGUCUAAAAAGCAGUUGUUAGCAAGGGCCGGGCAAGACCGGUGCCAGCCGCCGCGGUAACACCGGCGGCCCGAGUGGUAACCGAUUUUAUUGGGCUUAAAGCGUUCGUAGCCGGUUUAGUAAGUUUCUUAGGAAAUCUAGCAGCUUAACUGUUAGACGUCUAAGAGAUACUGCUAUGACUUGGGACCGGGAGAGGUAGGAGGUACUCCAGGGGUAGGGGUGAAAUCUUGUAAUCCCUGGGGGACCAUCGAUGGCGAAGGCAUCCUACCAGAACGGGUUCGACGGUGAGGGACGAAAGCUGGGGGCACAAACCGGAUUAGAUACCCGGGUAGUCCCAGCUGUAAACGAUGCUCGCUAGGUGUC